UGAGCAAUCUGCCCUUCUCUUCGGAAUAAGCGUUGGAAACGACGUCUAAUGCCGAAUACGACCUCCUUUCGCAUGAUCGGAGGUGGAAAGCUCCGGCGGAGAAGGAUGAGCUCGCGGCCUAUCAGCUAGUUGGUGUGGGUAAUGGCCCACCAAGGCGACGACGGGUAGCCGGCCUGAGAGGGUGACCGGCCACACUGGAACUGAGACACGGCCCAGACCUCCGUACGGGAGGNAGCG
RNAcentral lists this ribosomal RNA (237 nucleotides) under uncultured bacterium. RNAcentral describes it as "partial 16S ribosomal RNA". It matches the Rfam family "Bacterial small subunit ribosomal RNA", at positions 118 to 353 of the family's 1533-position model. The record is from RNAcentral.